Molecule: ribosomal RNA, 427 nt
Filed under: uncultured bacterium
Lineage: Bacteria
Description: bacterial SSU rRNA
Rfam family: Bacterial small subunit ribosomal RNA
Source: RNAcentral
UGUGGAAUUUUGGACAAUGGGCGCAAGCCUGAUCCAGCCAUGCCGCGUGCAGGAUGAAGGCCUUCGGGUUGUAAACUGCUUUUGUACGGAACGAAAAGGUGCCUUCUAAUAAAGGGCGCUCAUGACGGUACCGUAAGAAUAAGCACCGGCUAACUACGUGCCAGCAGCCGCGGUAAUACGUAGGGUGCGAGCGUUAAUCGGAAUUACUGGGCGUAAAGCGUGCGCAGGCGGUUUUGUAAGACAGAGGUGAAAUCCCCGGGCUCAACCUGGGAACUGCCUUUGUGACUGCAAGGCUGGAGUGCGGCAGAGGGGGAUGGAAUUCCGCGUGUGGCAGUGAAAUGCGUAGAUAUGCGGAGGAACACCGAUGGCGAAGGCAAUCCCCUGGGCCUGCACUGACGCUCAUGCACGAAAGCGUGGGGAGCAAACA